AACACCAAAAGCGAAGGCAGGCUUACUGGAACUGUAUUGACGCUGCAGUAAACGAAAGCGUGGGUAGCGAAAAGGAUUAGAUACCCUUGUAAUCCACGCCCUAAACGAUGAUGAUUAAGUGUUGGAGUUUAUUCCAGUGCUGUAGCUAACGCGUUAAAUCAUCCACCUGAGAAGUACGGUCGCAAGAUUAAAACUCAAAGGAAUAGACGGGGACCCACACAAGCAGUGGAUCACGUGGUUUAAUUCGACAAUAAACGAGGAAUCUUACCCAGACUUGACAUCCUAGGAAUCUUUCAGAAAUGAGAGAGUGCCCGCAAGGGAACCUAGUGACAGGUGCUGCAUGGUUGUCGUCAGCUCGUGCCUUGAGGUGUUCGGUUAAUGUCCGUUAACGAGCGCAACCCAUGUUGUUAGUUAUGUUUUCUAACAAGACUGCCUUGGUUAACAAGGAGGAAGGUGUGGAUGACGUCAAAUCAGCAUGGCUUUUACGUCUGGGGCUACACACAUGAUACAAUGGUAUGUACAAAGAGUAGCGAUACGGUAACGUUGAGCCAAUCUAUAAAGCAUAUCCUCAGUCCGGAUUGAGGUCUGAAACUCGACCUCAU
This 602-nucleotide ribosomal RNA is filed under the name uncultured Campylobacterota bacterium. Its description in RNAcentral is "bacterial SSU rRNA". It matches the Rfam family "Bacterial small subunit ribosomal RNA", at positions 705 to 1321 of the family's 1533-position model. The record is from RNAcentral. Lineage: Bacteria; Pseudomonadati; Campylobacterota.